GACGAACGCUGGCGGCGUGCUUAACACAUGCAAGUCGAACGAUGAUGCCCAGCUUGCUGGGCGGAUUAGUGGCGAACGGGUGAGUAAUACGUGAGUAACCUGCCCUUGACUCUGGGAUAAGCCUGGGAAACUGGGUCUAAUACUGGAUACUACCUCUUACCGCAUGGUGGGUGGUGGAAAGGGUUUUACUGGUUUUGGAUGGGCUCACGGCCUAUCAGCUUGUUGGUGGGGUAAUGGCUCACCAAGGCGACGACGGGUAGCCGGCCUGAGAGGGUGACCGGCCACACUGGGACUGAGACACGGCCCAGACUCCUACGGGAGGCAGCAGUGGGGAAUAUUGCACAAUGGGCGGAAGCCUGAUGCAGCGACGCCGCGUGAGGGAUGACGGCCUUCGGGUUGUAAACCUCUUUCAGUAGGGAAGAAGCGAGAGUGACGGUACCUGCAGAAGAAGCGCCGGCUAACUACGUGCCAGCAGCCGCGGUAAUACGUAGGGCGCAAGCGUUGUCCGGAAUUAUUGGGCGUAAAGAGCUCGUAGGCGGUUUGUCGCGUCUGCUGUGAAAGCCCGGGGCUCAACCCCGGGUCUGCAGUGGGUACGGGCAGACUAGAGUGCAGUAGGGGAGACUGGAAUUCCUGGUGUAGCGGUGAAAUGCGCAGAUAUCAGGAGGAACACCGAUGGCGAAGGCAGGUCUCUGGGCUGUUACUGACGCUGAGGAGCGAAAGCAUGGGGAGCGAACAGGAUUAGAUACCCUGGUAGUCCAUGCCGUAAACGUUGGGCACUAGGUGUGGGGGACAUUCCACGUUUUCCGCGCCGUAGCUAACGCAUUAAGUGCCCCGCCUGGGGAGUACGGCCGCAAGGCUAAAACUCAAAGGAAUUGACGGGGGCCCGCACAAGCGGCGGAGCAUGCGGAUUAAUUCGAUGCAACGCGAAGAACCUUACCAAGGCUUGACAUUCACCGGACCGCCCCAGAGAUGGGGUUUCCCUUCGGGGCUGGUGGACAGGUGGUGCAUGGUUGUCGUCAGCUCGUGUCGUGAGAUGUUGGGUUAAGUCCCGCAACGAGCGCAACCCUCGUUCUAUGUUGCCAGCACGUGAUGGUGGGGACUCAUAGGAGACUGCCGGGGUCAACUCGGAGGAAGGUGGGGAUGACGUCAAAUCAUCAUGCCCCUUAUGUCUUGGGCUUCACGCAUGCUACAAUGGCCGGUACAAAGGGUUGCGAUACUGUGAGGUGGAGCUAAUCCCAAAAAGCCGGUCUCAGUUCGGAUUGAGGUCUGCAACUCGACCUCAUGAAGUCGGAGUCGCUAGUAAUCGCAGAUCAGCAACGCUGCGGUGAAUACGUUCCCGGGCCUUGUACACACCGCCCGUCAAGUCACGAAAGUUGGUAACACCCGAAGCCGGUGGCCUAACCCCUUGUGGGAGGGAGCCGUCGAAGGUGGGACUGGCGAUUGGG
Molecule: ribosomal RNA, 1445 nt
Filed under: Kocuria sp. E7
Lineage: Bacteria; Bacillati; Actinomycetota; Actinomycetes; Micrococcales; Micrococcaceae
Description: 16S ribosomal RNA
Rfam family: Bacterial small subunit ribosomal RNA
Source: RNAcentral